Xylariaceae sp. FL0016 is the source of this 92-nucleotide non-coding RNA. The record is from the annotation of a GenBank genome assembly. Lineage: Eukaryota; Fungi; Ascomycota; Sordariomycetes; Xylariales; Xylariaceae.
UCUUCCAUGGCGCAAUCGGCAGCGCGUCCGACUGUUAUGGGUCCAAUGAUCAAGACAUCGGGAGGUUGACAGUUCAAACCUGUCUGGAAGAG